This is a long non-coding RNA of Cucurbita maxima (winter squash), 627 nucleotides long. RefSeq lists it as uncharacterized. The record is from RefSeq and is a predicted model, not a curated record. NCBI's taxonomy places the organism in Eukaryota, Viridiplantae, Streptophyta, Magnoliopsida, Cucurbitales, Cucurbitaceae. The transcript is spliced from 2 exons.
UAUUUAAGAACAUAAAACUCUCAUCUCAACUCAUCUCAUCUCCAACAACUCAAAAAGACAACCCAAAGCCAAGUUUCCAAGAAGUUUGGGAAGAGAAUGAAGACAGUUCUGGUAGCUUGCUUGGUUCUAAGCUUUGUGGUCGUAGGGAUCUCCGAACCCACAGAAUAUGUCGGCGGCGCCAAUUGCUACAUCGGCUGCAUUAGUAGCUGCCUAGACAGUACCUUCCAGUGCGCUUUGUGCAUUGGAAAAUGCAUGAUAAGCGUCGAGUCCUCCCCGACGCAGGCCAUCCAUAUGGACAAUCGUUACUUCUGCAAGCUUGGCUGUUCCACUUCUCGCUGCUCCAAGCUCCUCCUUAACAACCAUCCAAAUGAGAAGCAAAUGAAAGGCUGUGUCAACUCGUGCUCGCAUACAUGCACGAACACCAUGAACUAAUAAGAUCUACGUGACAUGACAUGACGAGCUAGAACUUGGCUUUAUGAUACUAUAAAUAAAUAAAUAAACGUCAAUAUUGGUAUUACAAAUCCAAAUUGACUAUAAGUUAUGUUAUGUAUUAAAGUUUGUACUUAUAUCUAUCAAUAAUAUUUAUGUGAAAUAAAUAAAGUUGCUUACGUGAGAAUGGUUUACGAA